ACCAUUCAUACAAGGCAUCAACCUGGUCGCUUUCGUGAUAUUGUUAACUCAUUUAUUUACUUCUCGCACUGAAACUCCCCUUCCCCGUGUUUACUAGUUUUCUAUACAUUGCACACAUUUUGUCUUGAUUGAAGGCAGUACCUAUGGAUUAGAUAUUUUUAUUAUUUCGACAGUAUCAAUACACUUGCUGAGAAGUCAUCAACUUUUUGGCGCCAUUGUUGGAGACUAUUGAUUUUUUAAUAAGGCGACGUUUGUGCAAUUUUUU
Molecule: long non-coding RNA, 265 nt
Filed under: Lathyrus oleraceus (garden pea)
Lineage: Eukaryota; Viridiplantae; Streptophyta; Magnoliopsida; Fabales; Fabaceae
Description: Pisum sativum (pea) long non-coding RNA (PSAT_LNC027601)
Source: RNAcentral